Molecule: transfer RNA, 70 nt
Filed under: Temnopleurus reevesii
Lineage: Eukaryota; Metazoa; Echinodermata; Echinoidea; Temnopleuroida; Temnopleuridae
Description: tRNA-Pro
Rfam family: tRNA
About the family: Transfer RNA (tRNA) molecules are approximately 80 nucleotides in length.
Source: RNAcentral
CAAGAGGUAGUUUAACAAAAAACAGUAGCUUUGGGAGUUACUAUUAUAAGUGAAAAUCUUAUCCUUUUGA